RNAcentral lists this ribosomal RNA (1153 nucleotides) under Staphylococcus aureus. RNAcentral describes it as "partial 23S ribosomal RNA". It matches the Rfam family "Bacterial large subunit ribosomal RNA", at positions 364 to 1523 of the family's 2925-position model. The record is from RNAcentral. Lineage: Bacteria; Bacillati; Bacillota; Bacilli; Caryophanales; Staphylococcaceae.
GUAAUAAUCCUGUAGUCGAAAAUGUUGUCUCUCUUGAGUGGAUCCUGAGUACGACGGAGCACGUGAAAUUCCGUCGGAAUCUGGGAGGACCAUCUCCUAAGGCUAAAUACUCUCUAGUGACCGAUAGUGAACCAGUACCGUGAGGGAAAGGUGAAAAGCACCCCGGAAGGGGAGUGAAAUAGAACCUGAAACCGUGUGCUUACAAGUAGUCAGAGCCCGUUAAUGGGUGAUGGCGUGCCUUUUGUAGAAUGAACCGGCGAGUUACGAUUUGAUGCAAGGUUAAGCAGUAAAUGUGGAGCCGUAGCGAAAGCGAGUCUGAAUAGGGCGUUUAGUAUUUGGUCGUAGACCCGAAACCAGGUGAUCUACCCUUGGUCAGGUUGAAGUUCAGGUAACACUGAAUGGAGGACCGAACCGACUUACGUUGAAAAGUGAGCGGAUGAACUGAGGGUAGCGGAGAAAUUCCAAUCGAACCUGGAGAUAGCUGGUUCUCUCCGAAAUAGCUUUAGGGCUAGCCUCAAGUGAUGAUUAUUGGAGGUAGAGCACUGUUUGGACGAGGGGCCCCUCUCGGGUUACCGAAUUCAGACAAACUCCGAAUGCCAAUUAAUUUAACUUGGGAGUCAGAACAUGGGUGAUAAGGUCCGUGUUCGAAAGGGAAACAGCCCAGACCACCAGCUAAGGUCCCAAAAUAUAUGUUAAGUGGAAAAGGAUGUGGCGUUGCCCAGACAACUAGGAUGUUGGCUUAGAAGCAGCCAUCAUUUAAAGAGUGCGUAAUAGCUCACUAGUCGAGUGACACUGCGCCGAAAAUGUACCGGGGCUAAACAUAUUACCGAAGCUGUGGAUUGUCCUUUGGACAAUGGUAGGAGAGCGUUCUAAGGGCGUUGAAGCAUGAUCGUAAGGACAUGUGGAGCGCUUAGAAGUGAGAAUGCCGGUGUGAGUAGCGAAAGACGGGUGAGAAUCCCGUCCACCGAUUGACUAAGGUUUCCAGAGGAAGGCUCGUCCGCUCUGGGUUAGUCGGGUCCUAAGCUGAGGCCGACAGGCGUAGGCGAUGGAUAACAGGUUGAUAUUCCUGUACCACCUAUAAUCGUUUUAAUCGAUGGGGGGACGCAGUAGGAUAGGCGAAGCGUGCGAUUGGAUUGCACGUCUAAGCAGUAAG